UCUCUUCAAGAAUUCUCUCAUUCCUAAACAAAACAUCCUAAGAGAGUCAUCAAUAAUCAUGGCUCUCUCACAUCCUAUGAUAAUUUUCUCUCUUUUUCUUACAUUUAUAGCCCUUUCUGCUGCCCAAUCCCCCAUGAUGGCCCCAACAAUGCCACCAUCCACCAUGUCAAUGCCACCAACUACUUCCACCACCACUCCUCCACCAAUGUCCGCCAUGUCACCACCACCAUCCGCCAUGUCACCACCACCA
This 250-nucleotide long non-coding RNA is filed under the name Solanum tuberosum (potato). RNAcentral's name for it is "long non-coding RNA (STUB_LNC008537)". Lineage: Eukaryota; Viridiplantae; Streptophyta; Magnoliopsida; Solanales; Solanaceae. The record is from RNAcentral.